AUACCUGCUGAGCACAGCAGGCCUGGCCCGCCAGCCCUCCUCCCGCCUGCCUGCAGCCAAUCGAUGUGGCCUGCCAGCCGCACACCAUUUUGCUGGCCUGGCUUGAUAGAACCCUGCUCAUAUUCUGCCUUCCUCCAGGGACUGAGCUUCCUUUGCAGGGGAGCCUGCUCUGAGGAAGUCAGCCCCUGCCCCAACUCCUGAGAGAAACGCCACUAAACACUCAGCAGAAUCCUGAAAGAACACGUGGAGGAAAAGGAGUCUGCCAUCACCUCUCCAGGAACUCUACCCCCUCUUGGCUCUGGACGAUGCUCUCCAGGGUGCGUCACCAAAGCUGGAAGGUCUUCGUGUCCCCUCCCUGCUCCCACCUCCUUUUUGUGUUUUGUUUCAGACACUCCCUCAGCUCAGAUUUGCUUUGAAGACUCUCCAGAGUGCUUCACCAUUGCCCGGGAGGUUCUAGAGUCCUCAAGAACCACUGUGACAUAUUAGAAAUGGGAACCAGACUCAACUGAGGUCAACAUGGAUAUAUCCUUUUGAGUUCAACCCCUUAGGUCCCAUCUGGCCAUUGUUGUCUAAGCCCUAUCCCUUCCAGCUUCUUUAUCCAACAGAGGAUAGAUCUGCUGGAAAGAGAAUCCCUCAAGUACCAGGCUGUCCAGGCAUCCAUUAGAAUAUGAUUAUUCAGGGUAAAGAAGUUUGUUUCACAGCCUGGUUUAUCAAAUGGCAUGUCAGCUUUGCUGGCAAGACUUCACCAAACAGCUGCCAUGUACAAGCUCACCUGGGGAAGUGGUCCAUGGAAGUGAUGCCAAGGGGAACAGUGUGGACUCUGCAUGUGGCAGGCACUCACUGACAAAUGUCAUUGUGCCUGGGAAUUGGAGACCAUCUCUUAUCAUUCA
Long non-coding RNA from Erinaceus europaeus (western European hedgehog), 890 nucleotides. RefSeq lists it as uncharacterized. Lineage: Eukaryota; Metazoa; Chordata; Mammalia; Eulipotyphla; Erinaceidae. The record is from RefSeq and is a predicted model, not a curated record. The transcript has 4 exons.